Molecule: long non-coding RNA, 1908 nt
Organism: Anopheles funestus (African malaria mosquito)
Lineage: Eukaryota; Metazoa; Arthropoda; Insecta; Diptera; Culicidae
Exons: 3
Source: RefSeq, a predicted model, not a curated record
UGUCUUGGCUAAUGUGUCUUGGCUAAUGUGUCUUGGCUAAUGUGUCUUGGCUAAGGUGUCUUGGCUAAUGUGUCUUGGCUUAUGUGUCUCGGCUAAUGUGUCUUGGCUAAGGUGUCUUGGCUAAUGUGUCUUGGCUAAUGUGUCUUGGCUAAUGUGUCUUGGCUUAUGUGUCUUGGCUAAGGUGUCUUGGCUAAGGUGUCUUGGCUAAUGUGUCUUGGCUAAGGUGUCUUGGCUAAGGUGUCUUGGCUAAGGUGUCUUGGCUAAUGUGUCUUGGCUAAUGUGUCUUGGCUAAGGUGUCUUGACUAAUGUGUCUUGGCUAAGGUGUCUUGGCUAAGGUGUCUUGGCUAAGGUGUCUUGGCUAAUGUGUCUUGGCUAAUGUGUCUUGGCUAAGGUGUCUUGGCAAAUGUGUCUUGGCUAAGGUGUCUUGGCUAAGGUGUCUUGGCUAAUGUGUCUUGGCUAAGGUGUCUUGGCUAAGGUGUCUUGGCUAAGGUGUCUUGGCUAAUGUGUCUUGGCUAAGGUGUCUUGGCUAAUGUGUCUUGGCUAAUGUGUCUUGGCUAAUGUGUCUUGGCUAAGGUGUCUUGGCUAAUGUGUCUUGGCUAAGGUGUCUUGGCUAAUGUGUCUUGGCUAAUGUGUCUUUUCUAAGGUGUCUUGGCUAAUGUGUCUUGGCUAAUGUGUCUUGGCUAAGGUGUCUUGGCUAAGGUGUCUUGGCUAAGGUGUCUUGGCUAAUGUGUCUUGGCUAAGGUGUCUUGGCUAAGGUGUCUUGGCUAAGGUGUCUUGGCUAAGGUGUCUUGGCUAAUGUGUCUUGGCUAAGGUGUCUUGGCUAAUGUGUCUUGGCUAAGGUGUCUUGGCUAAGGUGUCUUGGCUAAGGUGUCUUGGCUAAUGUGUCUUGGCUAAGGUGUCUUGGCUAAUGUGUCUUGGCUAAUGUGUCUUGGCUAAUGUGUCUUGGCUAAGGUGUCUUGGCUAAUGUGUCUUGGCUGAGGUGUCUUGGCUAAGGUGUCUUGGCUAAGGUGUCUUGGCUAAUGUGUCUUGGCUAAGGUGUCUUGGCUAAGGUGUCUUGGCUAAUGUGUCUUGGCUAAUGGGUCUUGGCUAAGGUGUCUUGGCUAAGGUGUCUUGGCUAAGGUGUCUUGGCUAAUGUGUCUUGGCUAAUGUGUCUCGGCUAAUGUGUCUUGGCUAUGGUGUCUUGGCUAAUGUGUCUUGGCUAAUGUGUCUUGGCUAAUGUGUCUUGGCUAAUGUGUCUUGGCUAAGGUGUCUUGGCUAAUGUGUCUUGGCUAAUGUGUCUUGGCUAAUGUGUCUUGGCUAAGGUGUCUUGGCUAAUGUGUCUUGGCUAAUGUGUCUUUUCUAAGGUGUCUUGGCUAAUGUGUCUUGGCUAAUGGGUCUUGGCUAAGGUGUCUUGGCUAAGGUGUCUUGGCUAAUGUGUCUUGGCUAAUGUGUCUUGGCUAAUGUGUCUUGGCUAAGGUGUCUUGGCUAAGGUGUCUUGGCUAAUGUGUCUUGGCUAAUGGGUCUUGGCUAAGGUGUCUUGGCUAAGGUGUCUUGGCUAAUGUGUCUUGGCUAAUGUGUCUUGGCUAAUGUGUCUUGGCUAAUGUGUCUUGGCUAAUGUGUCUUGGCUAAGGUGUCUUGGCUAAUGUGUCUUGGCUAAUGUGUCUUGGCUAAUGUGUCUUGGCUAAUGUGUCUUGGCUAAUGUGUCUUGGCUAAUGUGUCUUGGCUAAGGUGUCUUGGCUAAGGUGUCUUGGCUAAUGUGUCUUGGCUAAUGUGUCUUGGCUAAGGUGUCUUGGCUAAGGUGUCUUGGCUAAUGUGUCUUGGCUAAUGUGUCUUGGCUAAGGUGUCUUGGCUAAUGUGUCUUGGCUAAUGUGUCUUGGCUAAUGUGUCUUGGCUAAGGUGUCUUGGCUAAUGUGUCUUGGCUAAUGUGUC